AUACGUAGGUGGCAAGCGUUGUCCGGAUUUACUGGGUGUAAAGGGCGUGCAGCCGGGGAAGCAAGUCAGGUGUGAAAUGCAGAGGCUUAACCUCUGAAUUGCAUUUGAAACUGUUUUUCUUGAGUACUGGAGGGGCAAUCGGAAUUCCUAGUGUAGCGGUGAAAUGCGUAGAUAUUAGGAGGAACACCGGUGGCGAAGGCGACUGUAUGGACGACAACUGACGCUGAGACGCGAAAGCGUCGGGAGCAAACAGGAGUAGAUACCCUGGUAGUCCACGCUGUAAACGAUGAAUACUAGGUGUAGGGGGUAUCGACUCCCCCUGUGCCGCAGCUAACGCAUUAAGUAUUCCACCUGAGUAGUACGGUUGCAAGACUGAAACUCAAAUGAAUUGGCGGGG
RNAcentral lists this ribosomal RNA (397 nucleotides) under uncultured bacterium. Its description in RNAcentral is "partial 16S ribosomal RNA". It matches the Rfam family "Bacterial small subunit ribosomal RNA", at positions 523 to 918 of the family's 1533-position model. The record is from RNAcentral.